AUGACCAUACCCUCGAAAUCACUUCUAUCUUUGCUUGCUAGUUGUUCGCUCUAUUGCUUUGCCGCGAUACCUACCACUUGCUAUAACAUGCCUCCCAUAUUGCCAUGUCAAGCCUCUAACCCACCUUUCCUAGCAAACCGUUGUUUGGCUAUGUUACCUCUUUGCUCAGCCCUUCUUAUAGCGUUGCUAGUUGCAGGUGAAGAUGAAGUUUGUUCCAUGUUGGAACAUGGAUAUGUUGGGAUAUCAAAAUAUCUCUUAUUUAAUUUAAUGCAUCUAUAUACUUGGUUAAGGGUGGAAGGCUCGGCUUUAUGCCUGGUGUUUUGUUCCACUCUUGCCGCCCUAGUUUUCCGUCAUACCGGUGUUAUGCUUCUUGAUUUUGCGUUCCUUACACGGUUGGGUGUUAUGGGGACCCCUUGA
Molecule: ribosomal RNA, 417 nt
Filed under: Triticum aestivum (bread wheat)
Lineage: Eukaryota; Viridiplantae; Streptophyta; Magnoliopsida; Poales; Poaceae
Description: partial small subunit ribosomal RNA
Source: RNAcentral